This 237-nucleotide long non-coding RNA is filed under the name Phoenix dactylifera (date palm). RNAcentral's name for it is "long non-coding RNA (PDAC_LNC004698)". Lineage: Eukaryota; Viridiplantae; Streptophyta; Magnoliopsida; Arecales; Arecaceae. The record is from RNAcentral.
UUAAGUGAAGUCGGCAAAUCGUUUGCCGACUUUACUUAAGAAAUGCAAAAUUUUUUAGUGGGCGGAUCCUUGUUUCGAAUGAAAUAGGGAUCCGGCUACGGCCUCCGCAUUCCCUGUUUGCCGGCCUUCUUCUCUCUCCCUCCCUCUCCCUUCUCUCUUUUUCUCUCUCCUGUUCUCCUCUCCUCCAUCUCCUCUGCUGUGUUGGCUUGGCACGACAUGAUGUGGGCUCAUACCGAC